CCCUUAGAUGUUCUGGGCGGCCCGCGCACUACAAUGGCGCUUUCAGCGAGUUCCUAUGUUGAAUUUUCAUGGGUAUUCUUGGAAGCGGCGUCUUGACUUGGGAUAGAUCCUUGUAAUUGUUGGUUUUGAACGAGGAAUUCCUUGUAAUCGCGGUUGAUCAGCUCGCGUUGAAUACGUCCCUGCCCUUUGUACACACCGCCCGUCGCUCCUACCGAUGAAUCGUCCGGUGAAGUUCACAGAGUGGCGGUUCGUGGAGUUGCUCGCGAAGUGAAAUGGACCUCACGAUUUAGAGGAAGGAGAAGUCGUAACA
This 310-nucleotide ribosomal RNA is filed under the name uncultured eukaryote. RNAcentral's name for it is "partial 18S ribosomal RNA". It matches the Rfam family "Eukaryotic small subunit ribosomal RNA", at positions 1470 to 1796 of the family's 1831-position model. The record is from RNAcentral.